GCUAUACAUGCAAGUCGAGCGAACAGAUAAGGAGCUUGCUCCUUUGACGUUAGCGGCGGACGGGUGAGUAACACGUGGGUAACCUACCUAUAAGACUGGAAUAACUCCGGGAAACCGGGGCUAAUGCCGGAUAACAUAUAGAACCGCAUGGUUCUAUAGUGAAAGAUGGUUUUGCUAUCACUUAUAGAUGGACCCGCGCCGUAUUAGCUAGUUGGUAAGGUAAUGGCUUACCAAGGCGACGAUACGUAGCCGACCUGAGAGGGUGAUCGGCCACACUGGAACUGAGACACGGUCCAGACUCCUACGGGAGGCAGCAGUAGGGAAUCUUCCGCAAUGGGCGAAAGCCUGACGGAGCAACGCCGCGUGAGUGAUGAAGGGUUUCGGCUCGUAAAACUCUGUUAUUAGGGAAGAACAUAUGUGUAAGUAACUGUGCACAUCUUGACGGUACCUAAUCAGAAAGCCACGGCUAACUACGUGCCAGCAGCCGCGGUAAUACGUAGGUGGCAAGCGUUAUCCGGAAUUAUUGGGCGUAAAGCGCGCGUAGGCGGUUUCUUAAGUCUGAUGUGAAAGCCCACGGCUCAACCGUGGAGGGUCAUUGGAAACUGGGAAACUUGAGUGCAGAAGAGGAAAGUGGAAUUCCAUGUGUAGCGGUGAAAUGCGCAGAGAUAUGGAGGAACACCAGUGGCGAAGGCGACUUUCUGGUCUGUAACUGACGCUGAUGUGCGAAAGCGUGGGGAUCAAACAGGAUUAGAUACCCUGGUAGUCCACGCCGUAAACGAUGAGUGCUAAGUG
Molecule: ribosomal RNA, 792 nt
Filed under: Staphylococcus sp. 1032(2011)
Lineage: Bacteria; Bacillati; Bacillota; Bacilli; Caryophanales; Staphylococcaceae
Description: bacterial SSU rRNA
Rfam family: Bacterial small subunit ribosomal RNA
Source: RNAcentral